AGAGAGAAAUCUUUAAAAAAUAGUCACCGUGAGGGGAAAUACAAACGAGACAAAAAGGAAGAAGAGCGCCAAAUGGGCGACGAUGUGUUUCCGUGCAAGUGCCAGACUAAAUGCGCAGCACCGGCAGGUUGGGUUAUUGACUGUCGACUCCAGUCGCCUUAUCAAUAGUCUCCUCUCCAGUUACCCCACAACACACCUGCACGUUGAUAUACGACGCAGUUUACGUGAGAAACAACCAAAAAGUGGUUCGGUCGGGUCCCCCCUAAAACCAAACUUGAACCUUUGACAGUUCUGCUGAAUAUUUUUCUCUUGCGCCAACUGAUGCCCCUUUUGUUUCGUCCAACAACAACUUGAGAGCGCGUGUAAACCUAUCCGCCGAGUGAUUUAAAUGAACAGCAACAACAACAACGGCGAGAACAACCUGACGUUGGCAUUUCUCCUUUUUGGCUGGGCGACAAUGGGGAGGAAAAAUUUAAAAAAAAGGAACGCUGUUGCGCGGAUCUCAGCAAAUAUUAUCGCCAUUACGCCCGUGUGACUUUUGGCCCUCCCAAACUGUUUUCACUAUACAACAACGCGCAUACGAGCGAGGAUAAUAAAUUGUGUCAAAAACGAUGACGCAUCUUUUGCACAGCUCUGCAAAAGUUCUGGAUUUUUGUUUUCUCGCUCACGAAACGAGCCAACGGACGGACGGACGGAACACACAACGUCUGCAAUUUGUUUGUUCAGACUCGUGAAUUUACAUGCGUGCCUGUCGAUAGGGAAAAGAGUUGACCCCAACUUUGAGUCCGUCUGUAGCCGGGGACGACGACAAUAAGGACGACACAACAAGGAUUCAAAAAUGGUCGCAAUGGCGCCGCUUCCAUAGUUACGGAUAUACACGUCCAGCAACAGCACGACGGUGUAUUAGAUAUUUUGUUUUUGUUGGGGGGGACGUCACAUGGGGUUGCGCCGCGAUUUGCAUAGGCGAUGGCCUUAUGAGGAAAGCCGGACCGACGGGCACCAACCGACAAUGGAGUCGAUCCAUCUUCUUGCUCUUCUGCGUCACUCAUUCAUCUACCUCGACUCGCCUUGUUGUUGUUUAUCUCGUCCAGCAGCAGACAGGAAUUCUUUUAUAUGCAUUUGACUCGCUAUUACGCGUGCGUAUUAUACCUACGUCGUCUGCUUGUUAUGUACAGACUGGCGGAAUCAGGGCUACGAGACAACAAGCCAAUUUGAACAAAAGUAAACACAAAUCAUCAAUUUUUUUUCUUUUGCGCAAAGACUCGAUUCAUUCCGUUGUCCGAUGAGCUCAUUCUUUUCUAGCACGGGGAAAGCGCCGCCUUUUAUAGACGACUCGUUUAACGAGCUUCCUAAUUUUUCUUUCCCAGCGUUCUCUGUCUGAUUGGAACAAGAUCAUUUGCAAACCGAUCAAAAAAUUUCCCCCCUAUUCUUCUUCUUAUCUAGAUUGCCUGUCUCGACUCGCAGCGCUAUAUAUGGACAGAUGAAUUGCGCAUGGGAAACGAGCGACGUGCUGCACGAUAACUCUUUAACGAGGUUGGCCCAGGAAUAUAAAGAGCUUGCGCUUUAUUCCUUUUUCUCUGCGCGGAAAAAAAAGAAAAAGAAGAAGUUCCAAGUUGCCUGCCAUAAACGAUAUUUCUAGAUGUGCUAUACAUGCAAAAAAAAGAAAAAGAAAAAAAGGAAAAAGAAGGGAGGAAUAUAGUAGUUACGGUUUAACUUCUCUUCCUAUUCGACAUCGGCUCGCUUAUCCUAUCCCGCCUGCUGGAAUUUAUGGCGGAAACGACAUUUCGGAACGGCAACUCUGUCCUUGGAUGCUCGAGACUACGACAGAGAUGUCGCCUGGAAUAAUAAGCGAAUAGCUAGGAAAAAGAAAGAAGAAUAAAAAGGAGCGAUUUUCUUCUUUUGAAUUUCAAAGUCUAAUCUCCUUACCGGUAUACAAGCCCGAUAUGUCGCAUAACAAAAAAAAAAAAUCCAAAUAAAGAAUAUGUAUGACAAGGCGAAGAGAAAACUCUUUGGGAGAUUUUCAAAAAACCCCAUCAUGAUCCGUUGUGUCGUCUAGAAAUAAUAUUUACAUAUGUAAAUAAUUGGCGCAAACUGCUUCUCCUUUUGAUAAACGAGCGACGAUAUUUUGAUUCUCGUCGUCUAUAUUCUUUCCUUUUACGUUCUGUCAUCUGGGGAUGUGUGUGCAUUGCAGUAGAAGAGACAAGGGGCCCCAAAACCUUUUGGAUACUUUGCCACUGCCAGGACAACCGACUCAAAGCAGAUGACAGAGCCAUUCAAUCGACAAUGAAAAGACCGGUCUGACCGGUGUUCGCCCCCUUUUUGUUUUUUAUUACAGUAAAGGAUUUGUUAAUGUUAAUUUGUUUUGCUUCCAUUUGAAAAAGAAAAAGAUAAAGAGGCCCUUCCUUGAAUGAUAUAUAAUACAUGCAGGAAAGUAAUGUAAUCUAUAUAGGUAGCACGACAGUUCUUUUUUUAGUUCCUCCCUGCGUUACAUUACAAGCAAGAUCGAUCGAUAUUGAUUGAUUUCUUUUUCAUUCGAUUUGUUAGUCGCAUAUAGUGACGGUCAAUUUUAAUGUCAACUGGUUUCUAUUUCUCCACGGAGGGUGACGACCGUGGCUUCCACCAUCACAUGAUUGAAUCGUAUACACAAAUGUCAUCCAAGGAAAACAUACAGUAACUUAAUUACCCAGGUUUUCUAUCGUACAUAAAAAGUAGCCGUGAAAGUGAAAUGAUAGACCCCAUCCAGUAAUGGAGUGAACCCAUAUCAAAACCGUGUUCUUUAUACGCACACAAAUGACCACCAUAUACACACAAUACUGCUGGUAGCACACAUAUAGCCGCGUAUAUGGCUGGCGUCUCAAAGGCGACACUUUACACAGGAGAUAAGGAAGCACACAAAUUUGGGAUCGGCCAGCGCGGAGACGACCGGAAUUACCAUAGCAACACCAGCAUCAUUUACUACGUAUAUAUAGCCUUUAACGCGUACACUUUGAUCCAGAUAUGAGAGUAGUAUGUCAUUAAAAAGAAACCCAACUUAUUGCUGGUUGCUACACAUUCCGGUUCAUUUUCCGCAGCAACAAAAAAUGUUUUCAACAAUUUCGUACAAGGAAAAAACAGUCAAAAGAAACCGAAUUAUUAUUGAAACGUCAGACUAUCGGGAAACAUAAACGGGACCAGCCGGCGGCACCACACUCGACGCACAUAGGAACGACGAUCCGAUAAGAGUUGAUGUCAGUUGAAGAGAGAGAGAUAGUUGGCGCGGCGUUCUCUAUUAUUCUUUCUUUCUUUCUCUUAUAUUCCCUUUUUCUUUCCGUUUUCCCAUCUCUUUUUCUGCCUUUCCGUUGCAUAUUUAUUUCCUUUUCGACUGGAUAUAGUAUACUAACAAAAUGAAAAAGAACAUAUCCUUCUGGAUAAAACCCACCCGUUUAAACAAAGUCCGUGUGUCCCUUUUUCAUUCCGCCCCUUUAGCUCCUCGCAUCACGAGAAUACUAAGCAGCUUGCUUAUUCGGCUGCCCUGCUGUCUUCUCGUUCGUUUUUUUUGACGUUGAUGGACAACCCGAAAACCCGCAGCGCUUGGUUGUUGUUGUGUCUGCGUACACCAAGGCGAGUCAUGUCGAAUGAUAUUUUUUAACCAGACUUUAAUUAAUUUCUCAUUUCUCUCUCUGUCACUCUCUAUGUGGUGGAACUCGGUGAAAACUACUAGCCGUAUGCACUUGCUGUAGCGAAACUUGAAUUAUAAUAAAAAUUUAGAGGUCGCAAUCACCACCAGGUGGCAUGCAGAUGCUUGAAAAAUCGGCGCUCUUUCCAAAAAAUGAAAAAGAACUUUCAAGAUAAGAAAAGCCGAAAAAUGAGUAAAGAAGAAGGUAUAGUAUAUAUAUACUACUACCGGGGCAUGUUAUAUUGGAGGAGGGCAGCUAGCUAGAGUCUAGCUAGCAGGAGAAUUAAAUGGUUGGAAAUAGUUAGCUCGGUCUAACUGCCACCAAGGUACUCAAUUUGUUGCUGAACCGCGCUAUAAUUACUUCUUAGCCGCUGGGCGUCUUUUCUCUUGUUACUGUGCCCAUUGGCAGGACCCCAGUAGAGGUAGACACCAUAUAUACCUGCGUUAUACUGCGGAGGAAAAAAAACUGGGAGGGAGAAAAGAAGAAAAAGAAAAAAAAAAAAUGAAAUAAAAAUUUCAGAGGGGAAGGUGGGCGGAUCGAUAACUCCGCACAGGUUUCUUCUCCUCCAUCAUCCGCCAAGUUCCCUUUUUUUUCGCCAAAAUUGGCUGUUUCUCCUCCGCUUUUCCAUAUACGAACUCAACAGUUUCUCUUUUUUGAACUGUGUCCUCCCCCUCAUCUUAUUUCAUGCGCCAUUUUUUAUUGUCCGCUAGGACAAAACUCCUCCCUCCUACAGUCCUUGCAAACUGCACAUUAUAAAAAAUUUCGCCUUGGAAAUUCUGCUGUCCUUUCUGUGCCGACAGUGUUUUUUCUUUGUCGAAAAAAUCGAUCGUGAGAGACCCCUGAUGGUCAGUUUCUUUUCUGUCACGGUAACUUGCACAUUGAGAAUGAAAGAAAAAGAAGAAAAAGACAAAUAUCCAAGUAAUUCCUUGUUCAUGACCGGCGAUAUUUGUGAACGCCGCCGCCGCCGAGACGCAGUCUGAAUCGGCCAGCGUAACAAUACACAGCAGUCGGUCCCUACGUUUCGUUUCAAUGGAAAAAACCAAAAAAUAAAAAUAAAAGUUUCAAUUUUUUGAAGAGGAUUUCUUGAAGAAGAAGAAGAAAAAAAAAAGGGAAAAAAACUUGUGUAUCCUUUGUUCAUCAGCAGAGAAUGACAUGGUUCAUAACGACAAAAUGACAGGUUACCAGUCGGCUAUCACCUUCAAGAAAAGAAGGGAAAACCUGCCGGGGUCCUCGUGCCUGUCAUUUUGGAAAAAGGAAAAAAAAGAAAGAAGAAAAAAAAAGUUUUUUUUUCCCUUUUUUCUUUUUUAAAGAUUUUGUCGCUUUGUAUUUUUAUAAUACAAGAAAUACGCGGACGAUGGAAAUAAAAGAGGGGGGGGGAUAUAAGAGACACCCACCUUUUUCUUUAAAGGUCCUCCAGGUAUAAAAACGUAGAAGAAGAAAAAGAAAAGAAAAAGCUCGUUAAGAAAAAUCCUGUCCCAAAUCAUUUUGAUUUGUAUUUAUGUUAUCUUGUUGCGCGCGCUGCUCAGCUCGGGAUUUUUUUUCCUUUUAGAUUCCCAACCCCCAUCUUUUUUGGUUGUUUUCUUUCCUUUGAUUUAUGUGAGAAUAGAUCAAGAGAACCUGUUUUGAAUGUUUUUCUUCACUAAAAGAAAAAAAAAAAAAGAGAGUCCCUUCUAUUCUAGACUGACUGGAUCUCUGGCGUCUCUUCAUUUACAAUUCAGAUGUUGCAGUAGUGUAUUAUAUAUAUAUAUAUCUAUCCAAAUAUAAGUAUGUGUAUGUCUACAUAUACGUUACACGUAUGUAUAUAAAUAAAUAUCGUCCCUUCUCUUCUUUUUUGUUUCUAUCGGACCCCUUUCAUUCCUCCGUCUAUCUGACAUUGGCGGGCAUCACACCGGUAGUCGUUGGCUUCCACUGGACAUCCACAGUAGCCGCCGCUGGAAUAUCUUUUUUUGAUAAGAAUAAACUAUUGGGCAAUGCUGGUGUAGUGUCUGGAGGAGAAGAAAAAAAAGUUGUAGUUCCAGUCUGUUAUAGUUCUGACGGACUAGAGACCUUAUUGGGGGAUAAAUCAAAAGCUACAAGCGAGAGAUUGACAGGUGUGUGCAAGAAAUAUCAGAAAUAUCAUCACAAGAGGGUUUGUCUUACCAAACGUCAACUUUUUUUCAUCUCUCUCCAUCUUUUUUUAUCCCUUUCGGGAUAUUCUUGUGCAACACAAAAUUCAAAUUUAAUGUACCUUCUACUUUUUUGAAUUAUUUGACAGGGGGGAUUUUUAUUUGCCGUUAGGUCGCUCCUCCCACUUUUCCUGGUAAUAUUAGCAACUCGGCGCAAAUAGACAGACACGCAUACUACGCGAGAGUUGCAGGCGUUCAUAAUUUAUCGACGCAGAUUGCAGCCUGGGCUUUUAUUUAAUAUUUAUUUCAUUUCUUUCCUCCUCUUUCCCCAUGAUUCUACCCAUUUUCUCUUUUCUCCUUUUUUUUCUUUUUCCUUCUGCACCUGGGCUCUCCACUGAUGCGUAGUAGAGCCGGAGAAAUUAUAGUCUCAUGCAAAUAUGAUUCUUUUUUUCAUAGAAAGAUGCGCAUCUCGGCUCACACGGGCAGAGAAAGCUUGACAUCAGCCAUCCCGGUAAAAGAAAAGACGAUACAGCGCGCAGAUGGCAUUAUACGAGGAGAAGAGGGACCCACUUGGUCGUAAAAUAUUCUGGACUUUGCACUUUGCUUCAAGUUUUAAACUUAAAUGUUUUGAAUUUGAUUGUUUACU
This 6407-nucleotide long non-coding RNA is filed under the name Daphnia pulicaria. RNAcentral describes it as "uncharacterized LOC124312251, transcript variant X2". Lineage: Eukaryota; Metazoa; Arthropoda; Branchiopoda; Diplostraca; Daphniidae. The record is from RNAcentral.